UGCAAGUCGAACGCAGUAGCAAUACUGAGUGGCAAACGGGUGAGUAUAAUGUGGGAAUCUGCCUUUUGGUUUGGAAUAACACGGGGAAACUUGUGCUAAUACCGAAUAAGCCUUUACAGGGAAAGUUUUAACGCCGAAAGAUGAGCCCGCACUUGAUUAGCUAGUUGGUAAGGUAAAAGCUUACCAAGGCAAUGAUCAAUAGCUGUUCUUAGAGGAAGACCAGCCACAUUGGGACUGAGACACGGCCCAGACUCCUACGGGAGGCAGCAGUGGGGAAUCUUGCACAAUGGGGGAAACCCUGAUGCAGCGAUGCCGCGUGAGUGAAGAAGGCCUUUGGGUUGUAAAACUCUUUCGUCGGGGAAGAAAAUGACUGUACCCGAAUAAGAAGGUCCGGCUAACUUCGUGCCAGCAGCCGCGGUAAUACGAAGGGACCUAGCGUAGUUCGGAAUUACUGGGCUUAAAGAGCUCGUAGGUGGUUAAAAAAGUUGAUGGUGAAAUCCCAAGGCUUAACCUUGGAACUGCCAUCAAAACUUUUUAGCUAGAGUGUGAUAGAGGUAAGUGGAAUUUCUAGUGUAGAGGUGAAAUUCGUAGAUAUUAGAAAGAACACCAAAUGUGAAGGCAACUUACUGGGUCACUACUGACACUGAGGAGCGAAAGCAUGGGUAGCGAAGAGGAUUAGAUACCCUCGUAGUCCAUGCCGUAAACGAUGUGUGCUAGACGUUGGAAAUAUAUUUUUUCAGUGUCGCAGCGAAAGCAUUAAGCACACCGCCUGGGGAGUACGACCGCAAGGUUAAAACUCAAAUGAAUUGACGGGGACCCGCACAAGCAGUGGAGCAUGUGGUUUAAUUCGAAGAUACGCGCAGAACCUUACCAACACUUGACAUGUUCGUCGCGAGCCUAAGAGAUU
This 907-nucleotide ribosomal RNA is filed under the name uncultured marine bacterium. RNAcentral's name for it is "bacterial SSU rRNA". It matches the Rfam family "Bacterial small subunit ribosomal RNA", at positions 56 to 1008 of the family's 1533-position model. The record is from RNAcentral.